AUUUCUGAACUUGAUAAUUGUAAUUUGUGUUAAUUGGUAAAUUGUGUCUUGUAGAGAGAUAUUUGAUAGUAAAUUACAUGUUUUUUAAAAGAAAAUUUCCUUUAUAGUGAGGUGGUAAUCAUUUCAUAAUUCUUAGUUUUGGGAAGUGUCUAUUAUAAGUAACACGUCUGACCUCUUAAAAUGUAAGGAAAUUGAAUUUAUGUAAUGAUUCAGGCUUUUCAAAGUUAAAAAGGUAGCUGUUUUGAGGAAUUGAUAGUUUGGGACAUUUGUUUUAAACAAAAUAAGCCUUUGAUCUUAUGCACAUAGCCAUACAAGUAAAAUGUUUUCUUAUUUUAAAUUAGAUUAUGUUUUAAAAUUUUUUUCAGUUUUGCUUUAUGUUUGAUUGAUUGCUUUCCUUUAUUCCUAAGACAUCCAUUAAGUUGAAUUGUUCAAAAUUGUUUCAUUUUUAAAAGCUGAGAACUGUUGUUUGUCAAAUCAAAGUUGGAUUUUAAAAUGCACAUUUUAAUUUUAAUAAGCUCUCUGGUAGUGGAACUGCAGUGACAGAUGGUUGGGAGUUUGUUCCUAAAGCUAUUACACCAGUCUUCUAAUGUGCAUACUUGUUCUGUGUAACCCUGGCAGAUUUUUUCUCUAUUUCAGAAUGGGACAACAGAAGAAGUGACUUCAAAAGAAGAGGAAGAAGAAGAGAUGGCUGAAGUAGGCAUUUUUUGUAAGAAUAACAUUUUGGCCAGGAUAUAGAAGAACUUAGAUCACUAUGAGAUGAAAGAAGAGCCUAUUAGUGAGAAAAAGUUGGAGGAUGAAGGAAUUGAAAAAGAAAAUUGGGCAAUAUUAGAGAAAAUUAGGAAGACUGAAAGGCAAGACCAUUUAAAUGUUGAUCUUCAGAUCUUAAAAGAAAAACAAGGGAUAGGAGACAUUUUGCUUAUCUUUUAAGGUAUAUAUUGGGUGAAGGAGCAUUAUGUAUGGAACCUCUCACAAAACAGGUGAUUAUUUUCUUAUAAUACUCAAUUUUCACACUAAUAGAGUGUUUUGAUUAUGUAAGUUAGAUGGUAAGUAGAAGGUUCUCUUAAAGACAUUUUAGUGGGUUUUUUGUUGUUGCUGUUGUUUUUUCUUCAUAGCUCCUACUUUCAAGAAUGAAAAAGGUAUCCCAGCACUUUGGGAGGCCAAGGUGGAUGGAUCACGAGGUCAGGAGAUCGAGACCAUCCUGGCUAACACGGUGAAACCGUGUCUCUACUAAAAAAUAGAAAAAAAUUAGCUGGGCAUGAUGGCAGACUCCUGUAGUCCCAGUAGUAGAGUCAACCACUUUUAGGCAGCCCCCCGUACUUGGGAGGCUGAGGCAGGAGAGUGGCAUGAACCUGGGAGACAGAGCUUGCAGUGAGCUGAGAUGGUACCACUGCACUCCAGCCUGGGCAACUGAGUGAGACUCCAUCUCAAAAUAAAUAAAUAAAUAAAUAAAUAAAUAAAUAAAAUAAAAAACAUAAACCAGUAAAAUGACAUUGUACUUGGUGCUGAAUCUAUGCUAGGAUAGGCAUUAAGAGUGACCUUUAUUUAAGGUUCUAAUUUGCUCAUGUUGGGCACUUAGAACAUCCGUUUGUUGUUUUUUGUGAGAUUCUGGAAAUGUUCCAAUUUUACUGUUUCCCCUUGACUCCAGACUUUGUAACACUGGUCUGCUGCUGUUAAGUUAUAUGCCAUUUUGUUAGGGCUUCUCAAGUGGGAAUCAGGAAUGUUGCUGUGUUCUAGAGAUGUUUUGUUCUUCCUGUAGGGCUGAAGCAGUGCCUACUCCAUAGAAUCAGUCAUCAUGCAAAUAAAUGCCACCUGAGUCAAAGGCAAAGCCAACGUGCAGCUUGGAGCAAAGAAGGUACUUCUAUUAAGAAUUUUACAUAAACCGUAAGAUACAUUUUAUAUUACUUUGUGAGCCUACUUCCUGUCUUAAUUCUUUCUGAGAGAAUUCAUUUCAUUUUCAUUUGGUUUGUUUUCUUUUUGUUACAAAGAUGAUCUAUAGAAAAUAUAGAAGUAUAAGAAAAUUAAAGAUACUGACUAAUAAUCACUUAAUGAUUUAGUAUCUGAUUGUUUAGUCUUUGUUAUAUUUACUGUAGACAAACAUGUCUACAGUUGUAAAUUUAUUAUUGGUAUGUAUACCCUAGUAAAAGUUAUAUGUACUUUGAAGUUUUGCAAAGUUCAUGUUAUAGAAUUAAUUCCUGAUGAACUUUUAUGUGCUAGACACUAGUCUUUUAUUUAUUUAUUUUACUUUUUUUCCCUCUGUGCCUAUGCUUACCAAGUCUUUUUAUUUUUUACUUCUCACUAGCUCUUUCAAUCCUCUUAAUAACUUAAAAAGAGGGUAUUAUUAAUAUCUGCAUUUUAUGGAUGAGGCAACUGAAGGCAGGUAACUUGUCCAAGGUCACAGGUGGCAGAGCAAGGAUUGGAAUGAGACAGCCUGACUGCCCUAGGCCCUACCAAGAAGAGCUGAGAGCAAGCCAUGGGGCAGAAGGAUGUUGGUCAGGCUGGUUUUCUGUUUAGUUAACAUGAAAUGCAGGCUGUAACCUUAAUUCUAGGACAUUACAGAGAAAGCCUUCCAAAGCCAGAGGUUUUUUUUUACCAUGACCAUGACUUUUUAGCAAAAAUAUGAUUUUGUUUAAAGGCAACAUGGUGUUCUAAGAAGCUUCCACUCACACUCUUGUGGAGGGAAUGGUAGUUGAACUAAAUAGUGAAAUGCUGCAGCACAUGGCCUUUAGGCAGCUUCUGACCUAUUUCUAUGGUCAGGAAAGACACCCAUCUUUCCCUGCUGCCCACAGCCUCCAGCUAUUCACCUUCAGAAUUUCCUAGUCUGUGAUCACAUUCCAAUGAGGGAUCUGUUUUGUUUUUUCCAGGGUAGCAGAAAGUGAGUCACCACCUGUACUAAGCAGUCUAGUCUUCUGUGUAUAAAUGAGCAAGGUUGGGGAGCCAAAUUUGAGAACCUUGUGUAAUCCUGAGAUUCUCCAAGAGAAUACAAGAGAAUCUCAGGAUUAUGCAUGGUGGUAAAGUGGUCUCAUGUUAGUUGUAUCCACAGCUCUCAUCAGAAGCAGACACAGAUAUUUUUUGUAGGAAAGCAUCUCUAACUUAAGCCUGUAGGAUUCCCGAAGAUUAAAAGCAGGCAAUUAUGAAUUCAGUCAAAUCAUAGCAUUCAAGUAGUCUCAACCCAACAUAUUUGAGAAUUGUCAGAAACAAUGAAUAAUAUGUUUCCCAAAGACUGUAGGUUUUGGAAUUAUCAGAUACAGAACACAGACUUCAAAUAUUAGAAUGGUGAGAAAAUAGUUACAUGUGAAACCUAAUAUAGAAGAAAGAUGGACUCAUAAAAUUGAGCAACCAGUAAGACCACCAGGAAUGAUGAGGAGGACCUGAAAAGAAAAUGGAUGAAAUAGAACUUACAGAAAUAAAAUAUAUAGCUGAGUAUGGUGGCUCACACCUGUAAUCCCAGCACUCUUUGGGAGGCUGAGGUGGGAGGAUGGUAUGAGCCCAGGAGUUGGAGACAAGCCUGGGCAACAUGGUGAGAACUCAUUUCUAUAAAAAUACCCCACCACCACCAAAAAAAAAAAAAAGCUGGGUAUGGGGCAUGUGCCUAUAGUUCUAGCUAGUCAGGAGGCUGAGGUGGGAGGAUCACUUGAGCGCAGGAGGCCAAGGCUACAGGUACAUGCCACUGCAGUCCAGCCUGGCUGACAGACUGAGACUCCAUCUCAGAAUGAAAUGACAUAAAGAAAUAAAAAAUGUAAUUGUUGAAAUAAACUCAGUGGAUGGAUUAGACAUCAGAAGAAAGAAUUAAUUGGUUAGACAAUUACCUCCCAAAAGUAAGUCAGUAUGUUACACAGAGAGACAUGAGGAUAGAUGACAGGGCAGAAGUUGGUG
Molecule: long non-coding RNA, 3873 nt
Organism: Macaca fascicularis (crab-eating macaque)
Lineage: Eukaryota; Metazoa; Chordata; Mammalia; Primates; Cercopithecidae
Source: Ensembl